UGGGGAAUUUUGGACAAUGGGGGCAACCCUGAUCCAGCCAUUCCGCGUGAGUGAAGAAGGCCUUCGGGUUGUAAAGCUCUUUCAGCUGGAACGAAACGGUGCGCUCUAACAUAGCGCGCUACUGACGGUACCAGCAGAAGAAGCACCGGCUAACUACGUGCCAGCAGCCGCGGUAAUACGUAGGGUGCGAGCGUUAAUCGGAAUUACUGGGCGUAAAGCGUGCGCAGGCAGAUUGUUAAGCAAGACGUGAAAUCCCCGGGCUUAACCUGGGAAUGGCGUUUUGAACUGGCAGUCUAGAGUGCGUCAGAGGGCGGUGGAAUUCCGCGUGUAGCAGUGAAAUGCGUAGAGAUGUGGAGGAACACCGAUGGCGAAGGCAGCCCCCUGGGAUGACACUGACGCUCAUGUACGGAAGCGUGGGUAGCAAACA
This 427-nucleotide ribosomal RNA is filed under the name uncultured bacterium. Its description in RNAcentral is "bacterial SSU rRNA". It matches the Rfam family "Bacterial small subunit ribosomal RNA", at positions 355 to 774 of the family's 1533-position model. The record is from RNAcentral.